UACGGAGGAGGCAAGCGUUAUCCGGAAUUAUUGGGCGUAAAGCGUCCGUAGGUGGGUGAGGAAGUCUGCUGUUAAAGAGUGAGGCUUAACCUCAUAAGGGCAGUGGAAACUCUUCGUCUAGAGUGCGACAGGGGCAAGGGGAAUUCCUAGUGUAGCGGUGAAAUGCGUAGAGAUUAGGAAGAACACCGGUGGCGAAAGCGCCUUGCUGGGUCUGCACUGACACUGAGGGACGAAAGCUAGGGGAGCGAAAGGA
Molecule: ribosomal RNA, 253 nt
Filed under: uncultured bacterium
Lineage: Bacteria
Description: partial 16S ribosomal RNA
Rfam family: Bacterial small subunit ribosomal RNA
Source: RNAcentral